CAGGGCGGUGAGGUUCUACACAUCGUGUUUUGGGUUCAGGCAACCCUUCAAGGUUCUCUGCGACGGGACAUUUGUGCAUAACCUUAUAGUAAAUCGCGUUGCACCCGCCGAUAAAGCUCUGUCUAACAUCCUUGGUGGCUCCGUCAAGCUCUUCACAACAAGAUGUGUUCUCGAGGAGCUCAAAAGACUUGGUAGUGCCUAUUCUGAAUCUCUUCAGGCAGCUCACAAACUCAUGAUUGCAAGAUGUGAUCAUGAGGAUAAAAAGAGUGCGGAAGCUUGCAUUGCGGAGAUUAUUGGAGAGAAUAACCCCGAGCAUUUUUUUGUUGCUACCCAGGACUUUGGUUUGAGGAAGAAGUUUAGGGAGGUACCAGGUGUCCCUCUCAUAUUUGGUCUAAGAAAUGCUCUCUUCCUUGAGCCGCCAUCUGCAUUUCAACAUGAGUUUGUCAAAACUUCUGAAGAACAACGCUUACAUGCAACUGAGUUAGAAUAUAAAAUGUUGAAAAAUAGGACCAAGAGUACAUCAACAAAUGAGGAAUCUGGACAUUCUUCUGAUGAAAAUAAAGGUCCAAGAGAAAUGCAGCCUGUUAAAAAGGACAGUGCAAGAAGGAGAAUGGAUGGUAAGGAUAGACCUCAAUUUAAAAGAAAGAAAGCGAAGGCACCAAAUCCACUUUCAUGCAAGAAGAAAAAGAAGGAUGUAAACCCUAAGCCUUCAUCAGACAAGGAAAGUAAUGCUGGCAACAAUGCUACGAGAAGUACGAGCAGGAAAAGAAAGAGAUCACGUAAAAGCAAAAAUCUCACAGAGAUGGACAGCAAAUAGACUACUCGGGCAAAUUAGUGGUGCUUCAAAGUUGGGUUUGCAAUGAAGUAAACAUUCAUUAGA
This 880-nucleotide unclassified non-coding RNA is filed under the name Hevea brasiliensis (rubber tree). The record is from RNAcentral. Lineage: Eukaryota; Viridiplantae; Streptophyta; Magnoliopsida; Malpighiales; Euphorbiaceae.